AUUGUAUAGCCAGACUAUUUGCUGGGUAUUAAAAUGAAGAUUCAAGUCGGUCUAAAGUUUAACAAUUUAAUAAACGAUCCAACAAGAAUAUAAACGAUGUUACAAUAUUGAGUCCGGUGUUGACGGUUUAAGAACCUAUCCAAAACUGAAUAUAAAUUAUUUUUAAGAAGUAUAUAAAACAGAAUAAUUUAGAAAUACAUGUAACAACGGAUUAGGCAAUUAUUGUCCAUUGUU
This 234-nucleotide long non-coding RNA is filed under the name Mytilus galloprovincialis (Mediterranean mussel). The record is from RNAcentral. Lineage: Eukaryota; Metazoa; Mollusca; Bivalvia; Mytilida; Mytilidae.